RNAcentral lists this ribosomal RNA (482 nucleotides) under uncultured bacterium. RNAcentral's name for it is "partial 16S ribosomal RNA". It matches the Rfam family "Bacterial small subunit ribosomal RNA", at positions 30 to 507 of the family's 1533-position model. The record is from RNAcentral.
AUUGAACGCUGGCGGCAUGCUUUACACAUGCAAGUCGAACGGUGACAGGCCGCAAGGUGCUGACGAGUGGUGAACGGGUGAGUAAUGCAUCGGAACGUGCCCAGUCGUGGGGGAUAACUACUCGAAAGAGUAGCUAAUACCGCAUACGAUCUAUGGAUGAAAGCGGGGGACCGUAAGGCCUCGCGCGAUUGGAGCGGCCGAUGUCAGAUUAGGUAGUUGGUGGGGUAAAGGCUCACCAAGCCAACGAUCUGUAGCUGGUCUGAGAGGACGGCCAGCCACACUGGGACUGAGACACGGCCCAGACUCCUACGGGAGGCAGCAGUGGGGAAUUUUGGACAAUGGGCGCAAGCCUGAUCCAGCAAUGCCGCGUGCAGGAAGAAGGCCUUCGGGUUGUAAACUGCUUUUGUACGGAACGAAACGGCUCUGGUUAAUACCCGGGGCUAAUGACGGUACCGUAAGAAUAAGCACCGGCUAACUACGUG